This 482-nucleotide ribosomal RNA is filed under the name uncultured bacterium. Its description in RNAcentral is "partial 16S ribosomal RNA". It matches the Rfam family "Bacterial small subunit ribosomal RNA", at positions 28 to 507 of the family's 1533-position model. The record is from RNAcentral.
GACGAACGCUGGCGGCGUGCCUAACACAUGCAAGUCGAACGGAACUGUUUUGAAAGAUUUCUUCGGAAUGAAUUUGAUUUAGUUUAGUGGCGGACGGGUGAGUAACGCGUGAGUAACCUGCCUUCAAGAGGGGAAUAACAUUCUGAAAAGAAUGCUAAUACCGCAUGACAUAUCGGAACCACAUGGUUUUGAUAUCAAAGAUUUUAUCGCUUGAAGAUGGACUCGCGUCCGAUUAGUUAGUUGGUGAGGUAACGGCUCACCAAGACCGCGAUCGGUAGCCGGACUGAGGGGUUGAGCGGCCACCUUGGGACGGAGGCACGGCCCAGGCUCCUACGGGAGGCAGCAGUGGGGGAUAUUGCGCAAUGGGGGCAACCCUGACGCAGCAACGCCGCGUGAAGGAUGAAGGUUUUCGGAUUGUAAACUUCUUUUAUUAAGGACGAAAAAUGACGGUACUUAAUGAAUAAGCUCCGGCUAACUACGUG